RNAcentral lists this non-coding RNA (22 nucleotides) under Arabidopsis thaliana (thale cress). Lineage: Eukaryota; Viridiplantae; Streptophyta; Magnoliopsida; Brassicales; Brassicaceae. The record is from RNAcentral.
UCAUAGUACCCUCCCACGGUAC